CGGGAUGUAGCGCGACCUGGUAGCGUACUAGCAUGGGGUGCUAGGGGUCGCUGGUUCGAAUCCAGUCAUCCCGA
This 74-nucleotide transfer RNA is filed under the name Flavobacterium piscinae. Its description in RNAcentral is "tRNA-Pro". It matches the Rfam family "tRNA". Rfam says of the family: Transfer RNA (tRNA) molecules are approximately 80 nucleotides in length. Their secondary structure includes four short double-helical elements and three loops (D, anti-codon, and T loops). Further hydrogen bonds mediate the characteristic L-shaped molecular structure. tRNAs have two regions of fundamental functional importance: the anti-codon, which is responsible for specific mRNA codon recognition, and the 3' end, to which the tRNAs corresponding amino acid is attached (by aminoacyl-tRNA synthetases). tRNAs cope with the degeneracy of the genetic code in two manners: having more than one tRNA (with a specific anti-codon) for a particular amino acid; and 'wobble' base-pairing, i.e. permitting non-standard base-pairing at the 3rd anti-codon position. Lineage: Bacteria; Pseudomonadati; Bacteroidota; Flavobacteriia; Flavobacteriales; Flavobacteriaceae. The record is from RNAcentral.